This 363-nucleotide ribosomal RNA is filed under the name uncultured bacterium. RNAcentral describes it as "partial 16S ribosomal RNA". It matches the Rfam family "Bacterial small subunit ribosomal RNA", at positions 338 to 698 of the family's 1533-position model. The record is from RNAcentral.
CCUACGGGUGGCAGCAGUGAGGAAUAUUGGUCAAUGGGCGCGAGCCUGAACCAGCCAAGCAGCGUGAAGGAAGACGGCUCUAUGGGUUGUAAACUUCUUUUAUAAAAGAGUAAACUGAGAUACGUGUGCCUGUCUGUAGGUACUUUACGAAUAAGGAUCGGCUAACUCCGUGCCAGCAGCCGCGGUAAUACGGAGGAUCCGAGCGUUAUCCGGAUUUAUUGGGUUUAAAGGGUGCGUAGACGGGUUGUUAAGUCAGUGGGGGAAGUUCGCGGCUCAACCGUGGAAUUGCCAGUGAUACUGGUAGUCUUGAGUGCAGUUGCGGUAGGCGGAAUGCGUGGUGGAGCGGUGAAAUGCUUAGAUAUC